UUUCGAUUUCCCAUACUAAUUAAUUUUUGUCAAACCUACUAUAUGUCAUUAACUUCAUUAGAAGCUCACCAUAUUCUCUGUCUAUUUAUUUGAACUCUGUUUUUUCCAUGCUCAAAUCACCUUUUGUAAAAACAUAUUUCAUUGGAGCUUGCGAUCUCAUGCUAGUCGAGGAUUGAGAAGACACUUGCUUGCCCUGUUUCCCAUGGACAAUAGGGAUUGAGACUUCAUAAAUUUGUGCUCUUGGCUUAGAGCUUGCUCAAAGGUAAGUGUCAAAUCUUUGCCAUGAAGGUCAUCGUAAUCCAUAAUAUCAUCAUCUGUCAUCAAGACUUUCUCACAGUCCACAAAUGACUGCCUAUUUUCUCCCGUCAUGACUAUGUCUUCAAAAUUGUCUGGAAACAUGUCUUCCCAAGUUGGUGGGACAACUUCAUCAGUAAACAAGUUGUCUUCUCCUUUCGGAAUUACAGGAGGUUCUACCACAUCAUUUGUUUCACCAUGCGGUGGAAUAGGAAGUCCAAACCAAUCCUCAAUGGUCGGACGUGGAAGAGAAGAGCCACCAACAAUGCUCACUUCAUCAGUAAUCUCUCAUUCCUCAAUCAAAUUGAUUUAGUUAUGUUUUCUACUUUUGAUUUGAUAAUAAAACCAAUAUUUGUGCAUUUUGUUAUCUUGAUUUGACAAAUUAGUAUAUAUUUUAGUUUAUUCAUAAACUUUCCAGUUUUGAUUUUUCAAUGGAGAUAAAAAAGAAGUCCAAACCAAUCCUCAAUGGUCGGACGUGGAGGAGCAGAGUCGCCAACAAUGUCCACUUCAUCAGUAAUCUCUCAUUCCUCCAUCAAAUUAAUAUAGUUAUGUUUUUACUUUUGAUUUAAUGAUAAAAUCGAUAUUUGUGCAUUUUGUUAUCUUGAUUUGACAGGUUAGUAUAGAUUUUAGUUUAUUCAUAGACUUUCCAUCUUUGAUUUUUCAAUGGAGAUAAAACAAAAGUCCAAACCAAUCCUCAAUGGUCGGACGUGGGGGAGCAGACCACCAACAAUGCUCAUUUCAUCAGUAAUCUAUCCUUUCUCCAUCAAACCAAUUUAGUUACGUUUUCUACUUUUGAUUUGAUGAUAAAUCCAAGAUUUGUGCAUUUUGUUAUCUUGAUUUGACAGACUAAUAUAGAUUUUAGUUUAUUCAUAAACUUUCCAGCUUUGUUUUUCAAAUAAACGAAAUGAUCAACAAGCUUGGAUAGACUCAACGCGUAAAAUUUAGCAAUGGACCGACCAAAGAGGUUUAAACCAACUUUACUUAAACUAGGUGUUCCGUCUGCGCAUGCGGGCAUAAACAUUCUAUAGCUACUUAUUAAUACAUGUAUAAUUAAUUUAAAAGCUAUAAAAUAAAUUACUAUUUAUGUUUUCAUUGGAAGAUUCUUACCUAUUACAAAUGAUUUUUGAAUUAUUCAGAAAAUUUCCAGCCAUGAUUUUCUCAAAUAAACAAAAUGAUCAACAAGCUUGUAUAUAUUCCACCUGUCAAAGUAACGGUGGGCCGACCAAAGAGAUUUAAACCAAUUUUACUUAAAUUAGGUGUUCCGUCUGCGGAUACGGACAUGAACAUUUUAUAAUCAUUUAUUAAUACAUGUAUUAUUCAUUAAAAACUAUUAAAAAAUUACUAAUUAUGCUUUUAUUUGAAAACUUUUAAGUAUUAUAAAUUUUUAUCUUUUUUAUUAAAAGAUAUGUUGGAAUUAUUCAGAAGUUUGAUUUUUUCAAAUAAACGGAAUGAUCAACAACAAGCUUCGAUAUACUCCACAUGUCAAAGUUAGCGUAGUGCCGGCCAAAGAGGUUUUAAACCAAUCUUACUUACAAAAAAAUUAAAUGUUAAAGUUUUUGUAAAGUAUAUUUAAGAGUAAUCUAUAAUGGUAUGGAGAUUUGUAGAAUACUUAAUAGUGAAGUUAAGGAGUAAGUUUAAAAAGGAGGUGUAAAGAAGUCUAGAGAAUUAUAUCUCAACUGUUGAUUCGGUUCGAUCUACACCGUCCGUUGACCAGGUGGAACUUGUAUAUAAAGGAGUGAUGCCCUCAUUUGUAAGAUAUCAAGCAAGUCAUAUAAAGGAGUGAUACUAUCAGGGAUAAUGAGAGAAUAUGAUUCCAAUUGGUUCGCAGGAUGGGAGAAAGAGCUUCCGUCACAGCUCCAGCUCCCGUCUUCACAAGCCAAUUCACGAGUCGUCUGGUCGCAGCAGCUACACGAACGCUUCCUGGACGCGGUGGAGCACCUCGGGAUCAACCAUGCAGUUCCCAAAAGGAUUAUGGAGUUCAUGGACGUCGAUGGGUUAACCAGAGUGGAAGUCGCGA
This is a long non-coding RNA of Brassica napus (rape), 2311 nucleotides long. RefSeq lists it as uncharacterized. The transcript has 2 exons. Lineage: Eukaryota; Viridiplantae; Streptophyta; Magnoliopsida; Brassicales; Brassicaceae. The record is from RefSeq and is a predicted model, not a curated record.